Molecule: long non-coding RNA, 204 nt
Filed under: Chinchilla lanigera (long-tailed chinchilla)
Lineage: Eukaryota; Metazoa; Chordata; Mammalia; Rodentia; Chinchillidae
Description: lncRNA (ENSCLAG00000025170.1)
Source: RNAcentral
AUGCCUUCUGCUCAUGUUCCUGGUUCCUGGGCAUCUGGAGGGCUACAAGCCUUGUGUCCUCCUGAUGAGCUCCUGGCCUGUGGAUGGUUCAGGAUGGUAGUAUUGCUGUGUGACCAAUUCCAGGGACAAAAGGGAGGACUAGUGUGUCCUGAGGUCCCCAGUGAAGUCAGCAAACCCUGGGACACCUGGCUGAUGAAUGACUGA